GACUCUAUAGUUUAAAACCAAAACACUAAAUUGCAAGUUUAAAGACCGACACUUUCGUGGGGUUU
This 65-nucleotide transfer RNA is filed under the name Hutchinsoniella macracantha. RNAcentral describes it as "tRNA-Cys". Lineage: Eukaryota; Metazoa; Arthropoda; Cephalocarida; Brachypoda; Hutchinsoniellidae. The record is from RNAcentral.